RNAcentral lists this ribosomal RNA (253 nucleotides) under uncultured bacterium. RNAcentral's name for it is "partial 16S ribosomal RNA". It matches the Rfam family "Bacterial small subunit ribosomal RNA", at positions 524 to 776 of the family's 1533-position model. The record is from RNAcentral.
GACAGAGGAUGCAAGCGUUAUCCGGAAUGAUUGGGCGUAAAGCGUCUGUAGGUGGCUUUUCAAGUCCGCCGUCAAAUCCCAGGGCUCAACCCUGGACAGGCGGUGGAAACUGCCAAGCUGGAGUACGGUAGGGGCAGAGGGAAUUUCCGGUGGAGCGGUGAAAUGCGUAGAGAUCGGAAAGAACACCAACGGCGAAGGCAGCUCUCUGGGGCGGUACUGACGCUGAGACGCGAAAGCGUGGGGAGCAAACAGG